GAACGAACGCUGGCGGCGUGCCUAACACAUGCAAGUCGAACGGAUUUGAGGGGCUUGCUCCUCAAGUUAGUGGCGCACGGGUGAGUAACGCGUAGAUAAUCUGCCUGAUGAUCUGGGAUAACACUUCGAAAGGGGUGCUAAUACCGGAUAAGCCCACGGGGUCUUUGGAUUCUGCGGGAAAAGGGGGGGACCUUCGGGCCUUCUGUCAUCAGAUGAGUCUGCGUACCAUUAGCUAGUUGGUAGGGUGAUGGCCUACCAAGGCUACGAUGGUUAGCUGGUUUGAGAGAAUGAUCAGCCACACUGGAACUGAGACACGGUCCAGACUCCUACGGGAGGCAGCAGUGGGGAAUUUUGCGCAAUGGGCGAAAGCCUGACGCAGCAACGCCGCGUGAGUGAUGAAGGCUUUCGGGUCGUAAAGCUCUGUCGAUGGGAAAGAAGUGUAUUGUGGCUAAUAUCCACGAUACUUGACGGUACCCAUAAAGGAAGCACCGGCUAACUCCGUGCCAGCAGCCGCGGUAAUACGGGGGGUGCAAGCGUUGUUCGGAAUUAUUGGGCGUAAAGAGCGUGUAGGCGGUUUGUUAAGUCUGUUGUGAAAGCCCUGGGCUCAACCCAGGAAGUGCACUGGAUACUGGCAGACUUGAAUACGGGAGAGGGUAGUGGAAUUCCUAGUGUAGGAGUGAAAUCCGUAGAUAUUAGGAGGAACACCGGUGGCGAAGGCGGCUACCUGGACCGAUAUUGACGCUGAGACGCGAAAGCGUGGGUAGCAAACAGGAUUAGAUACCCUGGUAGUCCACGCCGUAAACGAUGAGAACUAGGUGUUGCGGGUAUUGACCCCUGCAGUGCCGCAGCUAACGCAUUAAGUUCUCCGCCUGGGAAGUACGGU
RNAcentral lists this ribosomal RNA (883 nucleotides) under uncultured bacterium. Its description in RNAcentral is "bacterial SSU rRNA". It matches the Rfam family "Bacterial small subunit ribosomal RNA", at positions 27 to 886 of the family's 1533-position model. The record is from RNAcentral.